UCUUAGCGUGUUACAACAGACAAAUGUCCAGAGCGCUGGAUUCAGGAGCUGUGACUCACCAUCGUGGAUCCCAUAUCCCCAGGACACAAAGGGCACAAAUACCUGGGGGAAGACAGCAGGGUCCAGGGGACAGUCAGCACUCCACGUGAGCCAUGGCACCAGAAAAUUGUCAAAGAAAAACAAAUCCAGAUUUUGGUAAGGGGAGACUAUCUGAAAAGACUAUGGUAAUCCAGGGAAGCAUGGUUUUGAGGAAGCGUGGUCCUUUUCUGUAAGCCUGUUCCUGGAACACAAUGGGUAGGAGAUUUCUUGUACAGUGCUGUUUUCUGGGAGAACAGGAUUCAGAUUGACCCUGAGCUAACAUCUGUGCCACUCUUCCUCUAUUUUAUGUGGGAUGCUGCCACAGCAUGGCUUGACAAGAGGCACUAGGUCCAUGCCUGGGAUCCAAACCUGUGAACCUCGGGCUCUCCAAGCAGAGAACGCAAACUCAACCACUAUGCCACCGGCUGGCCCCUAUCAGUUUUCUUUUGACACUUCAAACAGAGCUAGUGUUUAAUAUAAUUUAGGUCUGAAGACAUGCUGUUAAUGGUCUGAACAAUUUGAUGUCAACUGUUGGGGGAGAGCAGGCAUAGACUUGGACUUUUUUGAAAUAGAGAUUUUCAAAAGAGGAGAGCCACCACACACCAGGAACCAGGUCAUCAUCACGCUUCUGUUCUUCAGAUUUCGAUUCUACAGGUUCCCUUUUAUGUUCGAUACAAUCCCAAGACCCACACCCCUCCCCCCAACACAUACAGGUACUUCCAGGAAUUGUUUUGCUAUCUUAAGGGAGAGAGAUCAAUAAUGCUCACAAGUAAACAAAUCUCAAAAAGUUGAUAAUGUACAUUUGAAAAUCCAUUUGUUUAUAUGUUUUAAAAACGGGGAAGUCAAAGCAAAGAAGACAAAAGUGUAUAAAUUUGAGAGAUAUUCAGAUAUCCAUGGAAGAGAAUUGCUCAGAAGAACAAAGCAGAGUAUAACAUUACAUGAGUCAUGGCCUUUCUCAAGAGAGUAAAACUCUAAGCCAGUUAUUAAUAACAGCCCAGAGAGUCUCCUGAUCCAUCUAGGAGCAUAUGGUGUUUUCACGAAAGAGAGAGAUCAUCUCCUUGACUUUGAACUUCGCUUUUUGAACGCCUGAACAGACUGGUAGAUUCGAUUCUCUAUCUGGAUGAAACAGAAAGGAAGGUUGUCUCAGAGAAGAUCUGUUUCCCAAAGUGCUACCCUAUAACUCAGGAGGAACCAAGGUUGCUAAGAGACCACCUGUGCUGAAUCCACUUUGUUCUAGCAAGAGCAGACGGAAAGAACACCAAGGAGCAGUGUUAGCUGUCACUACCUGGGAUUAAGGCAGGGAGCAGGAGCUUUCUGAAUAUGACGUGUAAAAACUGGAUAUUAAUUUCUACUACUACCCCCACAAGUCUGGAAGAGGAAAUUGUGGGAAGACUUCUAAAAAUUUUGUUUGUUAUCCUUGUUGACUUAAUGUCUAUUAUAUAUGUUGUUAUUAGUUCUUAGUUCUGACUUCCCUUACUUUACAUGUAAAUUCCAUAUUGAAUUCCAGUGAAUAAAAAUUUGUAGUCUAAUAUGUUGAGUAAAUUUAAUUUGAUGACAUCUCCAAUUAUUCUCAAAGC
Molecule: long non-coding RNA, 1655 nt
Organism: Equus caballus (horse)
Lineage: Eukaryota; Metazoa; Chordata; Mammalia; Perissodactyla; Equidae
Source: Ensembl